Molecule: long non-coding RNA, 358 nt
Organism: Amphibalanus amphitrite
Lineage: Eukaryota; Metazoa; Arthropoda; Thecostraca; Balanomorpha; Balanidae
Exons: 3
Source: RefSeq, a predicted model, not a curated record
GACGUCUUCCAUCUCGAUCUGGCGAAAGGCCUCAAAGACGUCCUUCAUGUUUGGAUUCUCGUCGAACAGUCUGUGGGAAGACAAAGGUAGCCAGUGUCUGUCCAGCAUAAGCGAUCCAGCGGAAAUAGCUGACUUCCGGUCGGAUCGGAUGUAAUCACGAACACGAUGGAAAUGGGGCCGCGUUCGGACACGAGGGAGUCUUCUUCAGGUUGUAUUCCCAGCGCCAAUUGCAAGGAGAACUCUGGUGCUGCGUCAAAAUACCGGCUGGCUGCCUCAUCAGACGCUAUUGCUCAGCAUUGCUCUGAGCGCUGACAAAUAUCUGGCCGACCGUGAUUGAGGCCUGGGGGCUGGGUUCCGG